RNAcentral lists this ribosomal RNA (470 nucleotides) under uncultured bacterium. RNAcentral describes it as "bacterial SSU rRNA". It matches the Rfam family "Bacterial small subunit ribosomal RNA", at positions 26 to 507 of the family's 1533-position model. The record is from RNAcentral.
GGCUCGAGGACGAACGCUGGCGGCGUGCUUAACACAUGCAAGUCGAACGGUAAGGCCCUUUGGGGUACACGAGUGGCGAACGGGUGAGUAACACGUGGGUGAUCUGCCCUGCACUUCGGGAUAAGCCUGGGAAACUGGGUCUAAUACCGGAUAGGACCAUGGACUUCACGGUUUGUGGUGGAAAGCUUUUGCGGUGUGGGAUGGGCCCGCGGCCUAUCAGCUUGUUGGUGGGGUAAUGGCCUACCAAGGCGACGACGGGUAGCCGGCCUGAGAGGGUGUCCGGCCACACUGGGACUGAGAUACGGCCCAGACUCCUACGGGAGGCAGCAGUGGGGAAUAUUGCACAAUGGGCGCAAGCCUGAUGCAGCGACGCCGCGUGAGGGAUGACGGCCUUCGGGUUGUAAACCUCUUUCAAUAGGGACGAAGCGCAAGUGACGGUACCUAUAGAAGAAGCACCGGCCAACUACGUG